AGCGUACACGGUGGAUGCCCUGGCAGUCAGAGGCGAUGAAGGACGUGCUAAUCUGCGAUAAGCGUCGGUAAGGUGAUAUGAACCGUUAUAACCGGCGAUUUCCGAAUGGGGAAACCCAGUGUGAUUCGUCACACUAUCAUUAACUGAAUCCAUAGGUUAAUGAGGCGAACCGGGGGAACUGAAACAUCUAAGUACCCCGAGGAAAAGAAAUCAACCGAGAUUCCCCCAGUAGCGGCGAGCGAACGGGGAGCAGCCCAGAGCCUGAAUCAGUGUGUGUGUUAGUGGAAGCGUCUGGAAAGGCGCGCGAUACAGGGUGACAGCCCCGUACACAAAAAUGCACAUACUGUGAGCUCGAUGAGUAGGGCGGGACACGUGGUAUCCUGUCUGAAUAUGGGGGGACCAUCCUCCAAGGCUAAAUACUCCUGACUGACCGAUAGUGAACCAGUACCGUGAGGGAAAGGCGAAAAGAACCCCGGCGAGGGGAGUGAAAAAGAACCUGAAACCGUGUACGUACAAGCAGUGGGAGCACAGAGCAAUCUGUGUGACUGCGUACCUUUUGUAUAAUGGGUCAGCGACUUAUAUUCUGUAGCAAGGUUAACCGAAUAGGGGAGCCGAAGGGAAACCGAGUCUUAACUGGGCGUUAAGUUGCAGGGUAUAGACCCGAAACCCGGUGAUCUAGCCAUGGGCAGGUUGAAGGUUGGGUAACACUAACUGGAGGACCGAACCGACUAAUGUUGAAAAAUUAGCGGAUGACUUGUGGCUGGGGGUGAAAGGCCAAUCAAACCGGGAGAUAGCUGGUUCUCCCCGAAAGCUAUUUAGGUAGCGCCUCGUGAAUUCAUCUCCGGGGGUAGAGCACUGUUUCGGCAAGGGGGUCAUCCCGACUUACCAACCCGAUGCAAACUGCGAAUACCGGAGAAUGUUAUCACGGGAGACACACGGCGGGUGCUAACGUCCGUCGUGAAGAGGGAAACAACCCAGACCGCCAGCUAAGGUCCCAAAGUCAUGGUUAAGUGGGAAACGAUGUGGGAAGGCCCAGACAGCCAGGAUGUUGGCUUAGAAGCAGCCAUCAUUUAAAGAAAGCGUAAUAGCUCACUGGUCGAGUCGGCCUGCGCGGAAGAUGUAACGGGGCUAAACCAUGCACCGAAGCUGCGGCAGCGACGCUGAUGCGUUGUUGGGUAGGGGAGCGUUCUGUAAGCCUGUGAAGGUGUACUGUGAGGUAUGCUGGAGGUAUCAGAAGUGCGAAUGCUGACAUAAGUAACGAUAAAGCGGGUGAAAAGCCCGCUCGCCGGAAGACCAAGGGUUCCUGUCCAACGUUAAUCGGGGCAGGGUGAGUCGACCCCUAAGGCGAGGCCGAAAGGCGUAGUCGAUGGGAAACAGGUUAAUAUUCCUGUACUUGGUGUUACUGCGAAGGGGGGACGGAGAAGGCUAUGUUGGCCGGGCGACGGUUGUCCCGGUUUAAGCGUGUAGGCUGGUUUUCCAGGCAAAUCCGGAAAAUCAAGGCUGAGGCGUGAUGACGAGGCACUACGGUGCUGAAGCAACAAAUGCCCUGCUUCCAGGAAAAGCCUCUAAGCAUCAGGUAACAUCAAAUCGUACCCCAAACCGACACAGGUGGUCAGGUAGAGAAUACCAAGGCGCUUGAGAGAACUCGGGUGAAGGAACUAGGCAAAAUGGUGCCGUAACUUCGGGAGAAGGCACGCUGAUAUGUAGGUGAAGCGACUUGCUCGUGGAGCUGAAAUCAGUCGAAGAUACCAGCUGGCUGCAACUGUUUAUUAAAAACACAGCACUGUGCAAACACGAAAGUGGACGUAUACGGUGUGACGCCUGCCCGGUGCCGGAAGGUUAAUUGAUGGGGUUAGCGCAAGCGAAGCUCUUGAUCGAAGCCCCGGUAAACGGCGGCCGUAACUAUAACGGUCCUAAGGUAGCGAAAUUCCUUGUCGGGUAAGUUCCGACCUGCACGAAUGGCGUAAUGAUGGCCAGGCUGUCUCCACCCGAGACUCAGUGAAAUUGAACUCGCUGUGAAGAUGCAGUGUACCCGCGGCAAGACGGAAAGACCCCGUGAACCUUUACUAUAGCUUGACACUGAACAUUGAGCCUUGAUGUGUAGGAUAGGUGGGAGGCUUUGAAGUGUGGACGCCAGUCUGCAUGGAGCCGACCUUGAAAUACCACCCUUUAAUGUUUGAUGUUCUAACGUUGACCCGUAAUCCGGGUUGCGGACAGUGUCUGGUGGGUAGUUUGACUGGGGCGGUCUCCUCCUAAAGAGUAACGGAGGAGCACGAAGGUUGGCUAAUCCUGGUCGGACAUCAGGAGGUUAGUGCAAUGGCAUAAGCCAGCUUGACUGCGAGCGUGACGGCGCGAGCAGGUGCGAAAGCAGGUCAUAGUGAUCCGGUGGUUCUGAAUGGAAGGGCCAUCGCUCAACGGAUAAAAGGUACUCCGGGGAUAACAGGCUGAUACCGCCCAAGAGUUCAUAUCGACGGCGGUGUUUGGCACCUCGAUGUCGGCUCAUCACAUCCUGGGGCUGAAGUAGGUCCCAAGGGUAUGGCUGUUCGCCAUUUAAAGUGGUACGCGAGCUGGGUUUAGAACGUCGUGAGACAGUUCGGUCCCUAUCUGCCGUGGGCGCUGGAGAACUGAGGGGGGCUGCUCCUAGUACGAGAGGACCGGAGUGGACGCAUCACUGGUGUUCGGGUUGUCAUGCCAAUGGCACUGCCCGGUAGCUAAAUGCGGAAGAGAUAAGUGCUGAAAGCAUCUAAGCACGAAACUUGCCCCGAGAUGAGUUCUCCCUGACUCCUUGA
This 2789-nucleotide ribosomal RNA is filed under the name Escherichia coli. Its description in RNAcentral is "bacterial LSU rRNA". It matches the Rfam family "Bacterial large subunit ribosomal RNA". The record is from RNAcentral. Lineage: Bacteria; Pseudomonadati; Pseudomonadota; Gammaproteobacteria; Enterobacterales; Enterobacteriaceae.